Long non-coding RNA from Gallus gallus (chicken), 2492 nucleotides. The record is from Ensembl. Lineage: Eukaryota; Metazoa; Chordata; Aves; Galliformes; Phasianidae.
AGAAUCAGGAGACAACAUAAAAGGGGCUGUAAAGGUUGUGUCAAGGCCUAUGGCUUUAGAACUGAUACGUAAUUGGAUUUGCUGCCAAAUGAAGAAAGCAAGACAGCUAUCAUGUAGCAAACCAAUCAGAACCUCCAAAGAAUCUAAUGUGUAAUUAGCUCAGAGAAUGACAGCCUCAGUUAUUAUUUCUGCUGAAUUUCAUUUUAUAGCAAGACAGAAGAAUAAAUGAGUGAAAUUUGGCAAUCACAGAGCACAGGCAAAGUUCAGAUAAUAUGCUGGAGAUUGUCUAACUUACCAGAGUGAUUGAGACAGCAGCUCAUGGAUAUGUCUGCUUUGUGUCACACAGAACUAAAGAAGCAAAGAAGAAAUCAACAGCGUUUGGAAGACAGCACUGUCUCGCUGCUGUGGCAGGGAUACGAUGGAACAGAAGAAGCAAUUGUGGGAUGCAGUGCAGAAGGGCGACUGGGGCAAGGGUAACACAAAGCCUUGAGGACAAGAACCAGGAGUAAAGCUGACUGGCGCUGAUGUACUAAUUAGUGCACUAGCAGUGGUGGCUGGAAACCAAGUGAGUUUGAAAGAAAAAUACAAAGGCCGGAUGAGAAAAGGCACUGAAAGAGACUGCAACAGCAGUUGCAGUAUGACUGGCACAUGUGCAGGUAGGAACUGCUGCAGGUCCUGCUGAAUGCAGUGCUCCCCCUGAGGCACCCUCCUCCUGGUGGUUCCCUCUGCCAGUUAACACUGUGCUGGCUGAACUACUGCAUCCCUCCCUGACUGACUACUCCAAGUCAUCUUUUGCUUCUGCCUGUCAAACCCAUUCCUUUUUUUUCUUUCUCCUCUGCUGGAUGAAUCCACUCAAACACAUUCUGACAAAGACAGGAACACUUCUAACGAGGACAAAAUGGUUGAUUGUGAGACAGCCACCCACGUGCAUAGUGGCACUGGCCUCUGCAUUUGUCACUUUUGCAUGCAGAAGUUCAGCACCCAAGAAGCAGCACGGCACGGACAGCUGGAUGGACAAAUGACUACAGGAAACAUGGAGCUCAGGCAGGUGGCAAUGACUGGGUAUGCCUGGGACACGCCGCUAUCAGCUUGGAUAGAAUCUCAUUUGCUUUAUUUCUACUCUCAUUCAAUCUUGUUCUUCCCCCAUGUAUUCAAAGCCAACGGCUGCUGUGAAGCUGAAGUGACUGAGCAGUGCUCCCCGAAGACUGUAAUUUCCCUGCCUGAAAUAUGUACCAAAUGAGUCAUUCAUUUAACGUUUCCCCUCCUGCAGAUUUUGCUUUCAUAUUGAUGCCAAUCUCAGAAGUGUGAUCAGAUCCUGUCCUGGCUUCUGUUCUGCUAAAUCACAUCGUAACUUCUGUGUCAUUCUCUGUGACCUUUGCUCUGUAAUUUCUCCACUUUAUAUUCUUUUAGUUGCUAUCUUAUAAUUUCCAUUGUUUUUACCAACUACUGUCUUAAUGAUUCUUGUAAUUUAAAGUUUUUCAAAACAAUUGUGGCGUUGGGAGGGGAGGGAGUGCUGCUUCCAUUUUGCAAGUACUGUGACCUUGCCCUGGGAGAGACUUGUCUUUUUAUUUCCUCCUCCAUAAUGAGUUGGUUUUGAUGGUAUAAAUCACAAGGAAAUCACUGUGUGGUGCUUGUCAAAGUGAACUCAGACUUGGCUUUCUGCCAAGCUGCUGUGAGUUUUCUUAUCCCUGCUUUGCAAGCAGGUUCGGCGUUGCCAGCUGUGUGCCUCCUGCUGCUGGCUGCUGGGAUGCCUUCCUUCAUCUCCUCCCAUGGAGGAGCAUUUUUCUCUCCAUUGCCUGUAUUCCUAAUUGGACAUCUCAAGUGUGAGGGCACCGAUCUGGGUCUUCCUGUGCCAAAUAGUUACAUGUCUUCUGAUCCUUGAUGUACUUUGAGCUUUUUGCAAUGACCUGUUUCUCCUUAAGGAGCAGUAGCCACUUCUAGUUCUUCUUAAGAAAGUGCUUUUCCCAAUAACUAUCUGGUAGUCUUUUCUUUUUGGCUGGUUUGUGACUCUUCUGAGCUACUGCCACCAAGUUUGUUAUGAAAGGCUUGAUUCUGACGCUCUUAAUGGUACUUGUGAUGGCAAAUACUUUCUUAGCCUUGCUGUUAUGUUGGUAUUCCAAAGCUAAUUGAAGUCUGACAGCAGGUGUCCAGGUAUCACCAAAGCAGAAGUCUCCAAUAUUUUCCUCACAGCACAGACUGCGUUUAUAGGCACAAGCUUUUGGUGAACUGACUUCAGGAGUAAAGAUCUCAUUUGUAAACUGACUUGGUUCCAUUCAAUGAAAAUAAAGAACAUGCUGAACUCUACUGAGCAAUGAUUAUUCACUUCCAUAACCAACAGAGGAGUAAUUGUGUUGGGAGUGAAAUCAAAGGCCAUAUGUAUGCUGCUUUUUCCUUACACGAAAAAUAGUCCAAGUACUCCAAGAGAUAAUUAUGUCAACUCUUGUAAUUUUACUAUGAGUUUCAGGAUAUAAAUAAAAAUAUAUUUUUUUUCU